This 1665-nucleotide long non-coding RNA is filed under the name Meleagris gallopavo (turkey). RNAcentral describes it as "lncRNA (ENSMGAG00000022348.1)". Lineage: Eukaryota; Metazoa; Chordata; Aves; Galliformes; Phasianidae. The record is from RNAcentral.
GGCAACCGAUUGCUUUACCACCUCCCUUUUUGCCACCACAGUCUUUGAUUUUCCAGCUGAGUCUCCUCUGAAAAGAAACCACCUCCUUCUCCUUUGCUUACGAGGUUCCAAAAUUUCCCAAGGAUGAGACGGUCACAUCAACAUCCCUGCUCUGGUCCAGCAAUAGAGACAAGUAAGAGAUGUUCAACACCUCCUGGGAACCCCUCCGAAAGGCCCCCAGAUGUGGAAGUGCCACAGGUCAACUGGUCCUCAGUAUAUUCGCCUGGCAUCCCUUGGGAAGAGAGCCGCGCAGACACCAACACAUCCGUACCCACCCAAAGGAUCUCCUAUUGCUGGAAGAACAGCUGCAAUUUCGGCUGCCUGAUCCUGGCUGCAGGCACAAGGAGAAUGAGGGCAAGGAGUCCCACCAGGCUCACGUGGGCACUGGCAUCGCCUUUCUGCCCAGUGCAGGACGGGUACGAGCAUCCCACAGCCAGGAGCUGGGAGAGGCAGAGGAGGCAGUAGGACCAGGACCCUGGGGCAGGAUGAAGAUGAUGCAGAAGCUGGGACUGGGAUGCCUGCCCUGGGUCAGCUGCACUGCUCUCUGGCAAAGCACACGGUGCUGCCAACCCAAACGACCCCAACCCCUGCCCCUCCUCCUCCUGCUGCCACUGCUGCAAAGCUCGGGAUCGAUGCAGGUAUCAGCAUGACCCACUUAGUGUCUUCCUAUGGCUUUCCAUUUAUACCAUCCAUCCACUUUUGGCUUCGGCCGCAGCCUCCCAAGAGGGUUAGUGCUGAUGGCAGUGGGGUCAGGACGCUGCUCAUCCCUUGGAACAGGAGGAGGUCACAGUGCUGCACCCCAGGCUUGGCCAAACCCGCAGCACUUUGGGGCAGAUGGGGAAACUUUCCCAUCGAUUCGCCAUCGACUCUCCUCGAUCGCGUUACCUCCAACAGCCCAUUCAGCAGCGCCGCGAGGCGCCGAGGCAUGCCUCCUGCUUAACACCCACUUAAACCCUUUUUUAUUUUUCUGAAUCAGGCUAAAAACUCCCAUGCUGGGUGUGGGGAAGGUGGGGAGGGCUUGGAUCAGACCCAGGCGAUUGCAGCCUGCCUCGCUGCGGAGCUCAUUUUUGCCCCAUCUGUCUUUUCCUGCUGUCGGACCGGCUUUGCAGCAGCUUUGAAUGAGCACCUGUGAUGGGGAGCACUUGGUUCCCUCCGUGCAGGGAUGGCUGUGCUCAGCCCCACUUGUUAUUAAAUUGCUUCCUGACCCGGUUAAUCCGUAGCUGAUUAAUUUGGGCUGGGUAUCAGAAAGGUUUCAUCUGUCUCAUGGUGUGGACUGUAUGUUCUGGGUCCUCUGCUAAUCUGACUUAUAGAUAUAUUCCAUAUAUAUACCCUAUAUAUGUGUGUGUACAUCCUAUAUAUGUGGAAAAAUCAGAAGGGGGGAAUGUACAGAGGGAGGCUGGCUGGGCAUGCUGGCAGUGAGGGACGCAUCCAUCCUGCACCAGGAAUCCAGCCUGCAAGUUUCCUCCUGUGCAUCCUUCAAUGUGGGGCUGCUGUGUGGUUAUGCAGCAUGUAGUGAUGUUGUGGGUGGGGAAACUGAGGCACAGAGGAGGCUGGGGCUCUGAAUUUGGUGGCUGCCAGUUCAGCCCAAGCAUUUCUUUGAUGGUGCAAUUAAAGGGUUUAAAUGUC